RNAcentral lists this ribosomal RNA (468 nucleotides) under uncultured bacterium. Its description in RNAcentral is "partial 16S ribosomal RNA". It matches the Rfam family "Bacterial small subunit ribosomal RNA", at positions 28 to 507 of the family's 1533-position model. The record is from RNAcentral.
GACGAACGCUGGCGGCGUGCUUAACACAUGCAAGUCGAACGGAAAGGCCCUGCUUUUGUGGGGUGCUCGAGUGGCGAACGGGGGAGUAACACGUGAGUAACCUGCCCUUGACUUUGGGAUAACUUCAGGAAACUGGGGCUAAUACCGGAUAGGAGCUCCUGCUGCAUGGUGGGGGUUGGAAAGUUUCGGCGGUUGGGGAUGGACUCGCGGCUUAUCAGCUUGUUGGUUGGGUAGUGGCUUACCAAGGCCUUGACGGGUAGCCGGCCUGAGAGGGUGACCGGCCACAUUGGGACUGAGAUACGGCCCAGACUCCUACGGGAGGCAGCAGUGGGGAAUAUUGCACAAUGGGCGGAAGCCUGAUGCAGCAACGCCGCGUGCGGGAUGACGGCCUUCGGGUUGUAAACCGCUUUCGCCUGUGACGAAGCGUGAGUGACGGUAAUGGGUAAAGAAGCACCGGCUAACUACGUG